RNAcentral lists this ribosomal RNA (303 nucleotides) under uncultured bacterium. RNAcentral's name for it is "partial 16S ribosomal RNA". It matches the Rfam family "Bacterial small subunit ribosomal RNA", at positions 507 to 809 of the family's 1533-position model. The record is from RNAcentral.
AGCAGCAGCCGCGGUAAUACGAAGGGGGCUAGCGUUGCUCGGAAUGACUGGGCGUAAAGGGCGCGUAGGCGGCGAUCAAAGUCAGGCGUGAAAUUCCUGGGCUCAACCUGGGGGCUGCGCUUGAUACUUGGUUGCUUGAGUGGGGAAGAGGGUCGUGGAAUUCCCAGUGUAGAGGUGAAAUUCGUAGAUAUUGGGAAGAACACCGGUGGCGAAGGCGGCGACCUGGUCCUUGACUGACGCUGAGGCGCGAAAGCGUGGGGAGCAAACAGGAUUAGAUACCCCUGUAGUCCCUGUCCUCUUAUA